UUUAAAAAAGAUAUCAAUUGCUAUAAAUUCAUAGUGCUAUAGUAUGCUUUUAACAUAGAAAAAUGUGUACAGUGUAACUUUUUGAUAAUUAUGGGUUAUAAAAGUGUGAAUUAGUUUUUAGGUAUUUAAUAUUUUGUGAAGGCAUGAAAAUUUUAAAAAUUGUCGGAAUCACUUAAAAUGUGGUAGCAUUAAUGAAUUGUAUGCUGUUCAAGGGAAACUGUAGGUUAAGAGUGGGAUAAAUAUAUGAGGGUAAACUACCUUUGAGUUACACUUCAAGCUCACUUUCAAUUACUCUUGUAUAUUAGGUGCAAACUUUUACCUUUAAAUUGCAAAGACUGAUGGAAAUAUGUAGUAGAGUGUAUGUUUUGUGGUAAGAAAGAGGAAGGAGGUGAGAUUAACACUUAUCUAAUUGUCUUUCUUCCCUUUUUAGCAAUAUUUGUGUGAGUAGAAAGUGCAAACCCAUGAAAGAUGCUGUGCUGUGCAGACCAAAGCAGUCUAAAGCAAGAGUUUGGGCUCUGAACCACCGGAAAUGAUGUCACCUCUCCAUAUCCAUCAGUACUCAUCAAUGGUCUCCAAUAAUAGAACACAGCAACUUGGGUUUCCUGACUUUAUUGGAUCUCAGACUUCAUAUUUCCCCUCCCCCAAAUCAGAGAAGAAAAUGGCCUGAAAGCACAAAACAUGGAGUUGUAGUUCUACCACUGAAGAUAUGUGUAAUGUAUUAUGGCUUCAUCUAUAUGAUCCUCAGCUACUGGAUGAAGAUAAACACGCUUGGUAAUAAAUAAAAAUUCUUCGAGUAGACUAUUCCAAGAUUUCUUUUUUUUUACUUUUAUUAAUACGUGUUUGUAGUACAUAAUAAUUACAUUCAC
This 866-nucleotide long non-coding RNA is filed under the name Heterocephalus glaber (naked mole-rat). RNAcentral describes it as "lncRNA (ENSHGLG00000046751.1)". The record is from RNAcentral. Lineage: Eukaryota; Metazoa; Chordata; Mammalia; Rodentia; Bathyergidae.